This 253-nucleotide ribosomal RNA is filed under the name uncultured bacterium. RNAcentral describes it as "partial 16S ribosomal RNA". It matches the Rfam family "Bacterial small subunit ribosomal RNA", at positions 524 to 776 of the family's 1533-position model. The record is from RNAcentral.
UACGUAGGGAGCGAGCGUUGUCCGGAAUCAUUGGGCGUAAAGCGCGCGUAGGCGGCCCGAUAAGUCCGCUGUGAAAGUCAACGGCUCAACUGUUGGAUGCCGGUGGAUACUGUCGGGCUAGAGUACGGAAGAGGCAAGUGGAAUUCCUGGUGUAGCGGUGGAAUGCGCAGAUAUCAGGAGGAACACCUAUAGCGAAGGCAGCUUGCUGGGACGUUACUGACGCUAAGGCGCGAAAGCGUGGGGAGCGAACAGG